RNAcentral lists this ribosomal RNA (468 nucleotides) under uncultured bacterium. Its description in RNAcentral is "partial 16S ribosomal RNA". It matches the Rfam family "Bacterial small subunit ribosomal RNA", at positions 28 to 507 of the family's 1533-position model. The record is from RNAcentral.
GACGAACGCUGGCGGCGUGCUUAACACAUGCAAGUCGAACGGAAAGGCCCUGCUUUUGUGGGGUGCUCGAGUGGCGAACGGGUGAGUAACACGUGAGUAACCUGCCCUUGACUUUGGGAUAACUUCAGGAAACUGGGGCUAAUACCGGAUAGGAGCUCCUGCUGCAUGGUGGGGGUUGGAAAGUUUCGGCGGUUGGGGAUGGACUCGCGGCUUAUCAGCUUGUUGGUGGGGUAGUGGCUUACCAAGGCUUUGACGGGUAGCCGGCCUGAGAGGGUGACCGGCCACAUGGGGACUGAGAUACGGCCCAGACUCCUACGGGAGGCAGCAGUCGGGAGUAUUGCGCAAUGGGCGGAAGCCUGAUGCAGCAACGCCGCGUGCGGGAUGACGGCCUUCGGGUUGUAAACCGCUUUCGCCUGUGACGAAGCGUGAGUGACGGUAAUGGGUAAAGAAGCACCGGCUAACUACGUG